Molecule: long non-coding RNA, 401 nt
Filed under: Rattus norvegicus (Norway rat)
Lineage: Eukaryota; Metazoa; Chordata; Mammalia; Rodentia; Muridae
Description: long non-coding RNA NONRATT012400
Source: RNAcentral
AGCGCAAGAGACCCAUACAGAAGGUAGAAAUGGGUACCUCAAGUCAAAAUGAUGUUGACAUGAGUUGGAUUCCUCAGGAAACUUUGAAUCAGAUCAUGCAGAGUAGAAGAGAUAAAGCUUCUCCGAGAAGGCUGCCCAGGAAGCGGGCACAGAAGAGAUCGGUGGGAUCUGAUGAGUAAAUGUUGUUUGUGCAACAGUCCAGUCUGUGCUCCCCUGCCCUCAUGUUCUCCGCCUCGUGGGAAUUAGUGCAGAGAACGUGUCACCACAGAAGGCAGCUUCUGCUUAUGUGUGGACUGAGCAGUCGGAAUCUGUGGCCAUAAGAUUGCUGAAAAUGCACUGCAUUUGUUUUCUAAAGUAACAAAUUUGGGUUUUUUUUAAAACCAUUAAACUGUAUGGGUGUG